UGUUAAAAUUUUCAUCGGUUUGUACUGUUAUAGACCAGGUAGUAACACAUGAUGUGCCACAUUUACCUCAUUUUGACUUACAAGGAUUAGUUUUUAACAAUAGAAAUUGAUGAAAAUUUCAACA
This is a non-coding RNA of Gossypium arboreum, 124 nucleotides long. The record is from Rfam. Lineage: Eukaryota; Viridiplantae; Streptophyta; Magnoliopsida; Malvales; Malvaceae.